Molecule: ribosomal RNA, 500 nt
Filed under: uncultured bacterium
Lineage: Bacteria
Description: bacterial SSU rRNA
Rfam family: Bacterial small subunit ribosomal RNA
Source: RNAcentral
UACUCGCGAAUGCAUCNNAGAUUAUNNUUUGAUCAUGGCUCAGAUUGAACGCUGGCGGCAGGCCUAACACAUGCAAGUCGAGCGGAUGAGUGGAGCUUGCUCCAUGAUUCAGCGGCGGACGGGUGAGUAAUGCCUAGGAAUCUGCCUGGUAGUGGGGGACAACGUUUCGAAAGGAACGCUAAUACCGCAUACGUCCUACGGGAGAAAGCAGGGGACCUUCGGGCCUUGCGCUAUCAGAUGAGCCUAGGUCGGAUUAGCUAGUUGGUGGGGUAAAGGCCUACCAAGGCGACGAUCCGUAACUGGUCUGAGAGGAUGAUCAGUCACACUGGAACUGAGACACGGUCCAGACUCCUACGGGAGGCAGCAGUGGGGAAUAUUGGACAAUGGGCGAAAGCCUGAUCCAGCCAUGCCGCGUGUGUGAAGAAGGUCUUCGGAUUGUAACAGCACUUUNAGUUGGGAGGANCNGGGCAGUAAGUUAAUACCUUGCUGUUUGACGUUAC